GAGGGUUAUGGGUUGUCGCUGCUAACGAUAAUUGGAAUAUUUAGUUGUAUUCGACCCUCU
RNAcentral lists this transfer RNA (60 nucleotides) under Artyfechinostomum sufrartyfex. RNAcentral describes it as "tRNA-Ser". RNAcentral also lists the same sequence under 1 other name. Lineage: Eukaryota; Metazoa; Platyhelminthes; Trematoda; Plagiorchiida; Echinostomatidae. The record is from RNAcentral.